GAUGAAGAACGCAGCGAAAUGCGAUAAGUAAUGUGAAUUGCAGAAUUCAGUGAAUCAUCGAAUCUUUGAACGCACAUUGCGCCCGCCAGUAUUCUGGCGGGCAUGCCUGUUCGAGCGUCAUUACAACCCUCAGGCCCCCGGGCCUGGCGUUGGGGAUCGGCGGAGCCCCCCGUGGGCACACGCCGUCCCCCAAAUGCAGUGGCGGUCCCGCCGCAGCUUCCAUCGCGUAGUAGCUAACACCUCGCGACUGGAGAGCGGCGCGGCCACGCCGUAAAACACCCAACUCUUCUGAAGUUGACCUCGAAUCAGGUAGGAAUACCCGCUGAACUUAAGCAUGUCAAUAAGCGGAGGA
Molecule: unclassified non-coding RNA, 352 nt
Filed under: soil metagenome
Description: partial contains 5.8S ribosomal RNA, internal transcribed spacer 2, and large subunit ribosomal RNA
Rfam family: 5.8S ribosomal RNA (bases 1-120)
Source: RNAcentral